UAGGGAAUCUUCCACAAUGGACGCAAGUCUGAUGGAGCAACGCCGCGUGAGUGAAGAAGGCUUUCGGGUCGUAAAACUCUGUUGUUGGAGAAGAAUGGUCGGCAGAGUAACUGUUGUCGGCGUGACGGUAUCCAACCAGAAAGCCACGGCUAACUACGUGCCAGCAGCCGCGGUAAUACGUAGGUGGCAAGCGUUAUCCGGAUUUAUUGGGCGUAAAGCGAGCGCAGGCGGUUUUUUAAGUCUGAUGUGAAAGCCCUCGGCUUAACCGAGGAAGCGCAUCGGAAACUGGGAAACUUGAGUGCAGAAGAGGACAGUGGAACUCCAUGUGUAGCGGUGAAAUGCGUAGAUAUAUGGAAGAACACCAGUGGCGAAGGCGGCUGUCUGGUCUGUAACUGACGCUGAGGCUCGAAAGCAUGGGUAGCGAACAGGAUUAGAUACCCUGGUAGUCCAUGCCGUAAACGAUGAAUGCUAGGUGUUGGAGGGUUUCCGCCCUUCAGUGCCGCAGCUAACGCAUUAAGCAUUCCGCCUGGGGAGUACGACCGCAAGGUUGAAAC
RNAcentral lists this ribosomal RNA (554 nucleotides) under uncultured bacterium. RNAcentral's name for it is "partial 16S ribosomal RNA". It matches the Rfam family "Bacterial small subunit ribosomal RNA", at positions 355 to 900 of the family's 1533-position model. The record is from RNAcentral.